Molecule: ribosomal RNA, 774 nt
Filed under: uncultured Neocallimastigales
Lineage: Eukaryota; Fungi; Neocallimastigomycota; Neocallimastigomycetes; Neocallimastigales
Description: partial large subunit ribosomal RNA
Rfam family: Eukaryotic large subunit ribosomal RNA
Source: RNAcentral
AGAGAGAGACAUGCGCGCAUAUCAAUAAGCGGAGGAAAAGAAACUAACAAGGAUUCCCUUAGUAACGGCGAGUGAAGCGGGAAGAGCUCAAAUUUGAAAUCUUCAAGGUUCUACCUUGACGAAUUGUAGCUUAUAGAAGUGUUUUCUGUUAGUGGAGUGGCAAAAGUUCUUUGGAAUAGGACAUCAUAGAGGGUGAGAAUCCCGUAUUUGGUCAUUCCUCCUAGCGUUGUGAUACACUUUCAACGAGUCGGAUUGUUUGGGAAUGCAGUCCAAAAUGGGUGGUAAAUUUCAUCUAAAGCUAAAUAUUGGCGAGAGACCGAUAGCGAACAAGUACCGUGAGGGAAAGAUGAAAAGAACUUUGAAAAGAGAGUUAAACAGUACGUGAAAUUGUCAAAAGGGAAGCGUUUGACACCAGUGUUGUUUUUCCGAAAAUCAAUUACGAAUGUUUUAUUUUUGAGGAGUUAUGACUUCAUCGGCUUGCUCCUUUCUUUAUGAAACUUUCUUAAUGCACUUUUCGGUUAACAAGUCAACAUCAAUUUCUUUUGUUGUAAAAGGGUAUGAGGAAGGUGGCUUUCUUUUCGGAGAAAGUGUUUAUAGCCUUGUGCCUCUGCAAUCGGAGAGAUUGAGGUCUGCAGCGUAGAUCCUUCGGGGUUAGAUACGUUUGUGCUAAGUUAUAGCUUUUCAUAGACAACUUGUUGACUAUGUUUAGUCUUGUAGCUUACUCGCUGACGCUAUUUUACCUACGCUUAGGAUGUUGAUAGUCACAGCGUGUAC